AUUGAACGCUGGCGGCAGGCCUAACACAUGCAAGUCGAACGGUAACAGGAAUAGCUUGCUAUUCGCUGACGAGUGGCGGACGGGUGAGUAAUGCUUGGGAACUUGCCUUUGCGAGGGGGAUAACAGUUGGAAACGACUGCUAAUACCGCAUAAUGUCUACGGACCAAACGGGGCUUAGGCUCCGGCGCAAAGAGAGGCCCAAGUGAGAUUAGCUAGUUGGUAAGGUAAAGGCUUACCAAGGCAACGAUCUCUAGCUGUUCUGAGAGGAAGAUCAGCCACACUGGAACUGAGACACGGUCCAGACUCCUACGGGAGGCAGCAGUGGGGAAUAUUGCACAAUGGGGGAAACCCUGAUGCAGCCAUGCCGCGUGUGUGAAGAAGGCCUUCGGGUUGUAAAGCACUUUCAGUUGUGAGGAAAAGUUAGUAGUUAAUACCUGCUAGCCGUGACGUUAACAACAGAAGAAGCACCGGCUAACUCCGUGCCAGCAGCCGCGGUAAUACGGAGGGUGCGAGCGUUAAUCGGAAUUACUGGGCGUAAAGCGCACGCAGGCGGUUUGUUAAGCUAGAUGUGAAAGCCCCGGGCUCAACCUGGGAUGGUCAUUUAGAACUGGCAGACUAGAGUCUUGGAGAGGGGAGUGGAAUUCCAGGUGUAGCGGUGAAAUGCGUAGAUAUCUGGAGGAACAUCAGUGGCGAAGGCGACUCCCUGGCCAAAGACUGACGCUCAUGUGCGAAAGUGUGGGUAGCGAACAGGAUUAGAUACCCUGGUAGUCCACACCGUAAACGCUGUCUACUAGCUGUUUGUGNCUUUAAGNCGUGAGUAGCGAAGCUAACGCGNUAAGUAGACCGCCUGGGGAGUACGGCCGCAAGGUUAAAACUCAAAUGAAUUGACGGGGGCCCGCACAAGCGGUGGAGCAUGUGGUUUAAUUCGAUGCAACGCGAAGAACCUUACCUACACUUGACAUGCAGAGAACUUUCCAGAGAUGGAUUGGUGCCUUCGGGAACUCUGACACAGGUGCUGCAUGGCUGUCGUCAGCUCGUGUCGUGAGAUGUUGGGGUUAAGUCCCGCAACGAGCGCAACCCUUGUCCUUAGUUGCCAGCAUUCAGUU
RNAcentral lists this ribosomal RNA (1106 nucleotides) under Alteromonas sp. B275. RNAcentral describes it as "bacterial SSU rRNA". It matches the Rfam family "Bacterial small subunit ribosomal RNA", at positions 28 to 1130 of the family's 1533-position model. The record is from RNAcentral. Lineage: Bacteria; Pseudomonadati; Pseudomonadota; Gammaproteobacteria; Alteromonadales; Alteromonadaceae.